UGUUGUGUGAUGGAUUCUGUGCUUUCAAGAAUACUUAUCAGUGGUCAAGGUGAAGCAAGACUGCCGCACACCUGCCUCAGUCUUCACCCCAGCAGAAUGCUGGAGCGAGUAGAGCACAACUACUACCCUGCAGGAGGCCCCAGGGGACGACGCCCGGGCGCGGCGGCAGGUGGAGGCAGUAGGUGGUGUGGAGGUUGAACUGAGGAGUGCCGCAAAUCAGCCGCUGUGGCCACACCUUUACGGUAGUGUGUGGCUGGACCCCCGCGGAGCACUAAAUGUUAGCCUCCAGCCACUGCCGCCUCCCCACCACCGCCACGUCCACCACUGCCACCCCCACUCCGCUCUCCCACCUCUGCUAGCCCCACCCUGCUCCCCACCUCCGGCCUCCUGCUUUCAAGACCCCUACAGUGACUUACGCCGCCGCAAUCACUGCCUCUACGACCAUCAUCGCUCACUGCUUGAUAGAAAGGUAAAUAACACUUUAUUUCAGUAGACUAUGC
This is a long non-coding RNA of Portunus trituberculatus (swimming crab), 500 nucleotides long. RefSeq lists it as uncharacterized. NCBI's taxonomy places the organism in Eukaryota, Metazoa, Arthropoda, Malacostraca, Decapoda, Portunidae. The record is from RefSeq and is a predicted model, not a curated record. The transcript has 3 exons.